UGCGGCGUGCUAUACAUGCAAGUCGAGCGGACAGAAGGGAGCUUGCUCCCGGAUGUUAGCGGCGGACGGGUGAGUAACACGUGGGUAACCUGCCUGUAAGACUGGGAUAACUCCGGGAAACCGGAGCUAAUACCGGAUAGUUCCUUGAACCGCAUGGUUCAAGGAUGAAAGACGGUUUCGGCUGUCACUUACAGAUGGACCCGCGGCGCAUUAGCUAGUUGGUGAGGUAACGGCUCACCAAGGCGACGAUGCGUAGCCGACCUGAGAGGGUGAUCGGCCACACUGGGACUGAGACACGGCCCAGACUCCUACGGGAGGCAGCAGUAGGGAAUCUUCCGCAAUGGACGAAAGUCUGACGGAGCAACGCCGCGUGAGUGAUGAAGGUUUUCGGAUCGUAAAGCUCUGUUGUUAGGGAAGAACAAGUGCAAGAGUAACUGCUUGCACCUUGACGGUACCUAACCAGAAAGCCACGGCUAACUACGUGCCAGCAGCCGCGGUAAUACGUAGGUGGCAAGCGUUGUCCGGAAUUAUUGGGCGUAAAGGGCUCGCAGGCGGUUUCUUAAGUCUGAUGUGAAAGCCCCCGGCUCAACCGGGGAGGGUCAUUGGAAACUGGGAAACUUGAGUGCAGAAGAGGAGAGUGGAAUUCCACGUGUAGCGGUGAAAUGCGUAGAGAUGUGGAGGAACACCAGUGGCGAAGGCGACUCUCUGGUCUGUAACUGACGCUGAGGAGCGAAAGCGUGGGGAGCGAACAGGAUUAGAUACCCUGGUAGUCCACGCCGUAAACGAUGAGUGCUAAGUGUUAGGGGGUUUCCGCCCCUUAGUGCUGCAGCUAACGCAUUAAGCACUCCGCCUGGGGAGUACGGUCGCAAGACUGAAACUCAAAGGAAUUGACGGGGGCCCGCACAAGCGGUGGAGCAUGUGGUUUAAUUCGAAGCAACGCGAAGAACCUUACCAGGUCUUGACAUCCUCUGACAACCCUAGAGAUAGGGCUUUCCCUUCGGGGACAGAGUGACAGGUGGUGCAUGGUUGUCGUCAGCUCGUGUCGUGAGAUGUUGGGUUAAGUCCCGCAAC
RNAcentral lists this ribosomal RNA (1071 nucleotides) under Bacillus sp. EA_S_8. Its description in RNAcentral is "bacterial SSU rRNA". It matches the Rfam family "Bacterial small subunit ribosomal RNA", at positions 38 to 1093 of the family's 1533-position model. The record is from RNAcentral. Lineage: Bacteria; Bacillati; Bacillota; Bacilli; Caryophanales; Bacillaceae.